UUGAUUAGUGGCGCACGGGUGAGUAAUGCAUAGAUAAUGUGCCCUUAGUUCGGGAUAGCCACUGGAAACGGUGAUUAAUACCGGAUACUCCUUCUUGUUAUAAGACAAGUCGGGAAAGUUUUUCGCUAAGGGAUCAGUCUAUGUUCCAUCAGCUUGUUGGUGAGGUAAUGGCUCACCAAGGCUAUGACGGAUAUCUGGUUUGAGAGGAUGAUCAGACACACUGGAACUGAGACACGGUCCAGACUCCUACGGGAGGCAGCAGUGAGGAAUAUUGCACAAUGGAGGAAACUCUGAUGCAGCAACGCCGCGUGGAGGAUGACGCAUUUCGGUGUGUAAACUCCUUUUAUUAGGGAAGAUAAUGACGGUACCUAAUGAAUAAGCACCGGCUAACUCCGUGCCAGCAGCCGCGGUAAUACGGAGGGUGCAAGCGUUACUCGGAAUCACUGGGCGUAAAGGGUGCGUAGGCUGGCUUUUAAGUCAGAUGUGAAAUCCAAUGGCUCAACCAUUGAACUGCAUUUGAAACUGAAAGCCUAGAGUUCAGAAGGGGCAGAUGGAAUUAGUGGUGUAGGGGUAAAAUCCGUAGAUAUCACUAGGAAUAUCAAAAGCGAAGGCGAUCUG
RNAcentral lists this ribosomal RNA (618 nucleotides) under uncultured bacterium. RNAcentral's name for it is "bacterial SSU rRNA". It matches the Rfam family "Bacterial small subunit ribosomal RNA", at positions 88 to 728 of the family's 1533-position model. The record is from RNAcentral.